GCCUCAAAAGCGAGGCUAUAAGGAACUGAAAAUAUACAGAGAAGAUUAGCAUGGCCCCUGCACUAAGGAUGACACGCUCAAUCAGAGACAAGCUUACUUUUUUU
RNAcentral lists this small nuclear RNA (104 nucleotides) under Penicillium coprophilum. Lineage: Eukaryota; Fungi; Ascomycota; Eurotiomycetes; Eurotiales; Aspergillaceae. The record is from RNAcentral.